UUUUUUUUUUUUUUUUUUUUUUUUUUUUUUUUUUUUUUUUUUUUUUUUUUUUUUUUUUUUUUUUUUUUUUUUUUUUUUUUUUUUUUUUUUUUUUUUUUUUUUUUUUUUUUUUUUUUUUUUUUUUUUUUUUUUUUUUUUUUUUUUUUUUUUUUUUUUUUUUUUUUUUUUUUUUUUUUUUUUUUUUUUUUUUUUUUUUUUUUUUUUUUUUUUUUUUUUUUUUUUUUUUGGGAAGACGGGGGGCUGACAUCUCAAGGUGCUGCAGACAGUCCUGGUGGUGGUUCUCUCUCUCUCUUUUUCUUUCUUUUUUUACUUUAAAAAAUUUUUUAAUGUUUAUUUAUUUCUGAGACAGGAGAGACAGAGUAUGAGCAGGGAAGGGGCAGAGAGAGGGAGACACAGAAUCGGAAGCAGGAUCCAGGCUCGGAGCUGUUAGUACAGAGGCUGGUGAGGGGCUCGAACUCACAAGCUGCGAGAUCAUGACAGGUGCCCUCCCAUCUCUUGUGAAGUUUUAUUUGUUUCCUAGGAUUUUACAUGAGGACAAUCUAGGACAAUGGUCAUGGGUACUUGAGGUGGGCAGAGAGAAUGGGGGCAAGGCCUUGAAGAGGGUGGUUCCUGGCCCAGACUUUGUGUUUGGGGGGAAACGCCAUGCAGACGGGCCUUUGCUGGGCCCGAGGAGGGGACAGGUAUGGGGACCCCAGCCGCAGGCACUGCUGUCCCGGUGAUGCCACCUCAGGGCGCCCGAGUCCACCUGCCCCUUGGGGAGCACUUGCGACCCUCCGCUCUGCCUGAGGGCUGUGUCCUGCCCCAGAGGCACCUCCUCUCCUGCCAGCCAGGGCCACGUGCCCCAGGGAGCGCGGGUACCCCGACGGCGCUGGGGACAGAGCCAGUCUGCUUAGGACACCGUCUCCCAGAAGCCCUGAGCUCCAGGCCGCCACGGUGCUCCCCCUCCUCCUCCGGGCUGCGUGGGCCCAAGUCCUCCUCUGCUCAGGGACCACCCUCUGUCCAGGCUCCACACGCUGGCACUUGGGGCAGGUCGUCUGGACCUUCUGGACUCGUGUUUCCUUGCCGGGAACAUGUGCAGAGGCCUCCCUCCCAGACUCGCCAGAGGGAACACGGCCAGGAACAUGCAGACCGUGCCAAGCGCUGACCUUCCUCCACGUGGGACCUGUUGACCUCCUGGAUCGUCUCCACCUCCUCCGCAAACAACGCUGAGUGUUCCCAGAAGGGGGACAGCGGGCAGGGGCCAAGGAGGGGCUUCCGGAAUCCUGUGCCCUGGGGGACUCUGGGACAGCCUUCCAGGUGGCCCUUUAUGUCCUCCAGGCACCAGGCCACGAUUCCACCUCAUGUCUCAGGGAAUGCGCCAACCCAUCUGAAGGCCCGUUACGUCCCCAUGUCACAGAUGGGGACACCGGGGCUAAUAGCACAGCCUGAGUCACUAGUAAGACGAGCUGGGUCAGGAAGCCCAUCUCCUUGACUUUGGAUUGUCCUACCCGCAGGCGUGCAUCUUGGCGUCCUGGGGCUCGGGGUCCCUCCUCCUGGGGGAUCCCACCACCCGCCGAGGGCCCCUACCCACUGAAUCAGGGGAGCAGAGCUGACCAACCUGCCUGGGGCCCCACAUGGGGCUGGGGAAGGGCCGACUCCGGGCUCUGGGGGCUCUCCCAGUACUGGGCCAGCCGGUCCCCUGCAGGACAAGGACUUCUCGCUGGGGAUCGGCUGGGGCCUCAGCUUCCUCACAUUGUCACCUGGGCUGGCGGUCCCAAGACCAGAAACCUGCCCGUCUGAAGGUGACCACCGCUGCCUCCCUUGGGUUUCACUUGCCCGAGUCCCUCCCCGGGACGACCCGCAUCUCUGACGCCUGCUCCCGUGGGGGUCGCCUCCCCUUGGACUGGGACAGGUCUGGCCUCCAUCCCGGGGAACGCACUGGCUUUGGCGCAUUAUUUGGCCCAGAGGCCUGUGAACCUUUCUGGCCCUGGGUCGUGAGGGAUGUUCUCCCUUCUGUGGUGUGACCGUCCAGCCUUCUGCAUCUCCCGGUUUCUGUUUGGGCCACGGGAGGACCAGCCGUGUCCUGUCUGGCUUCAGGCUGUGGUGUCACAGCACGCACAGGGGUCUCCACCCCGAGACCAUUGUCACUGAAGGGGCCUCCUUUU
This 2144-nucleotide long non-coding RNA is filed under the name Felis catus (domestic cat). Its description in RNAcentral is "lncRNA (ENSFCAG00000053191.1)". Lineage: Eukaryota; Metazoa; Chordata; Mammalia; Carnivora; Felidae. The record is from RNAcentral.